AGCUUUGCGAAGUGACAUUACCGUAGCUGAUGAGGUCCAUCCGAGGCGCGGUUAUUGCUGAUUGAAAACUUUUCCCAAUACCCCGCGAGACGACUUGAAACAUAGUCGGCUUUGCAAUUUUUGUGGGCCCUGCUUAGGG
RNAcentral lists this small nuclear RNA (139 nucleotides) under Nematostella vectensis (starlet sea anemone). Its description in RNAcentral is "U4 spliceosomal RNA". It matches the Rfam family "U4 spliceosomal RNA". Rfam says of the family: U4 small nuclear RNA (U4 snRNA) is a component of the major U2-dependent spliceosome. The structure of U4 snRNA from yeast and human has been reported. Lineage: Eukaryota; Metazoa; Cnidaria; Anthozoa; Actiniaria; Edwardsiidae. The record is from Rfam by way of RNAcentral.